This 494-nucleotide ribosomal RNA is filed under the name uncultured bacterium. RNAcentral's name for it is "partial 16S ribosomal RNA". It matches the Rfam family "Bacterial small subunit ribosomal RNA", at positions 29 to 507 of the family's 1533-position model. The record is from RNAcentral.
ACGCACGCUGGCGGCGUGCCUAAUACAUGCAAGUAGAACGCUGAAGGAGGAGCUUGCUUCUCUGGAUGAGUUGCGAACGGGUGAGUAACGCGUAGGUAACCUGCCUGGUAGCGGGGGAUAACUAUUGGAAACGAUAGCUAAUACCGCAUAAGAGUAGAUGUUGCAUGACAUUUGCUUAAAAGGUGCAAUUGCAUCACUACCAGAUGGACCUGCGUUGUAUUAGCUAGUUGGUGGGGUAACGGCUCACCAAGGCGACGAUACAUAGCUGACCUGAGAGGGUGAGCGGCCACACUGGGACGGUGACACGGCCCAGACUCCUACGGGUGGCAGCAGUAGGGAAUCUUCGGCAAUGGGCGGAAGUCUGACCGAGCAACGCCGCGUGAGUGAAGAAGGUUGUCGGAUCGUGAAGCUCUGUUGUCAGAGAAGAACGAGUGUGGGAGUGGAAAGUUCACACUGUGACGGUAUCUUACCAGAAAGGGACGGCUAACUACGUG